AGGAUGAACGCUGGCGGCGUGCUUAACACAUGCAAGUCGAACGAUGAAGCUGGAGCUUGCUCUGGUGGAUUAGUGGCGAACGGGUGAGUAACACGUGAGUAACCUGCCCUUGACUCUGGAAUAAGCGUUGGAAACGACGUCUAAUACCGGAUACGAGCUUCCGCCGCAUGGUGAGGAGCUGGAAAGAAUUUCGGUCAAGGAUGGACUCGCGGCCUAUCAGGUAGUUGGUGAGGUAAUGGCUCACCAAGCCUACGACGGGUAGCCGGCCUGAGAGGGUGACCGGCCACACUGGAACUGAGACACGGUCCAGACUCCUACGGGAGGCAGCAGUGGGGAAUAUUGCACAAUGGGCGCAAGCCUGAUGCAGCAACGCCGCGUGAGGGACGACGGCCUUCGGGUUGUAAACCUCUUUUAGUAGGGAAGAAGCGAAAGUGACGGUACCUGCAGAAAAAGCACCGGCUAACUACGUGCCAGC
Molecule: ribosomal RNA, 475 nt
Filed under: Salinibacterium sp. l35
Lineage: Bacteria; Bacillati; Actinomycetota; Actinomycetes; Micrococcales; Microbacteriaceae
Description: bacterial SSU rRNA
Rfam family: Bacterial small subunit ribosomal RNA
Source: RNAcentral